AUUUUAGCUGGUUCAGAACAUCUUCAGAGUCUUGGUUUAGCUAAUACCGACGUGCUGAAAAUCAUUAAAGUAAUUGUUUCGGUCAUGUUGGUUUGGUUUGUUCGUUUUUUGUUUUUCCUCACCUUUUGUAUGAACCACGUGUUCGUUUUUUGUUUUUCCUCACCUUUUGUAUGAAUCACGUGACGUAUUAAUAUUGCAUGUUUUUAGGAUAAUUUCGACCAAACAAUUCAGUUUACAGUGUGCUGUACUAUCUCCCCUGGUUUGAUUUGAAAUGUGUUGCUCGG
RNAcentral lists this long non-coding RNA (284 nucleotides) under Brassica napus (rape). Its description in RNAcentral is "long non-coding RNA (BNAP_LNC002037)". Lineage: Eukaryota; Viridiplantae; Streptophyta; Magnoliopsida; Brassicales; Brassicaceae. The record is from RNAcentral.